This is a long non-coding RNA of Carcharodon carcharias (great white shark), 604 nucleotides long. RefSeq lists it as uncharacterized. The transcript is spliced from 4 exons. NCBI's taxonomy places the organism in Eukaryota, Metazoa, Chordata, Chondrichthyes, Lamniformes, Lamnidae. The record is from RefSeq and is a predicted model, not a curated record.
GGCAAUUUUGGGAGCGGCGUAGAUCGCAAUUUCUUUUUGUUUUUUUAAAAAAAUGGAGCUGAAAUUAUUCUUUUUAAGCGCAACACAUCGAAGAAUACUCGUCGCGUUGCUUAAGUUGUGAUAAAGGAAGAGUCGCAAUGGUUGUUAAUCAUAGAGAAAAUUCAAGAACCACCAGCCAAAAAGUAUGAGCGGUAGAAAUUCUGGAAGGACAAGUUUGCAAAAGCUCCUGGAGAAUUGCGCACCAAAUUGAGAACAAACAUGCUGGAGAAAGUUAACAGUGUUGCUCAGUUGGUCUAAUUUCCCACCCUUCAUGCUGUUAUAAGUGCUAGUGCUGCACCAACCUGGUAAAGAUUUCACUUCUCCUCAGACAACACUGGAAACUCCAAGUGUAAGUAAGAAUCCAUAUCUGACCACUUCAUAGGAGCUUGGGAAUGCAUGAACACUCUGCUACAGUCACUUUAGAGGUGUACUGAAUGCAUUGGAUUACUUGAACAUAAAAAAACAUCCAAUUGCCCAUGACCAAAUAAAUCAACAGGUAUUUUAUCGAGGUAUAAACAAAGAAAAUUUGAUGUGGAGGAUGCAGGUGUCGUGUUUCGCUGGUUGU